UCCAGACUCCUACGGGAGGCAGCAGUGGGGAAUAUUGCACAAUGGGGGAAACCCUGAUGCAGCGACGCCGCGUGAGUGAAGAAGUAUCUCGGUACGUAAAGCUCUCUCAGCAGGGAAGAAAAUGACGGUACCUGACUAAGAAGCCCCGGCUAACUACGUGCCAGCAGCCGCGGUAAUACGUAGGGGGCAAGCGUUAUCCGGAUUUACUGGGUGUAAAGGGAGCGUAGACGGUUAUGCAAGUCUGGAGUGAAAGGCGGGGGCUCAACCCCCGGACUGCUCUGGAAACUGUAGAACUAGAGUGCAGGAGGGGUAAGUGGAAUUCCUAGUGUAGCGGUGAAAUGCGUAGAUAUUAGGAGGAACACCAGUGGCGAAGGCGGCUUACUGGACUGUAACUGACGUUGAGGCUCGAAAGCGUGGGGAGCAAACAGGAUUAGAUACCCCAGUA
RNAcentral lists this ribosomal RNA (445 nucleotides) under uncultured bacterium. RNAcentral describes it as "bacterial SSU rRNA". It matches the Rfam family "Bacterial small subunit ribosomal RNA", at positions 330 to 792 of the family's 1533-position model. The record is from RNAcentral.